UCAGCCAAGAAGUGGAAGCCGUGCAAAUAUCUAUCCACAGAGCAAUCAGAGCUAUAUAUACAUAUAUAUAUACAUAUAUAUGUACAUAUACAUAUAUACAUAUAUAUACAUAUACAUAUAUACAUAUACAUAUACACACACACAUAUGUGACACACACACACAUAUAUAUACACAUAUAUAUGUGUACACACACAUAUAUACAUAUAUAUGUAUACAUAUAUACACAUAUAUACAUAUACAUAUAUAUACACAUAUAUAUACAUAUAUACAUAUAUACAUAUAUAUACACACACACAUAUAUAUAUGUGACACACACACACACAUAUAUAUAUACACAUAUAUAUGUGUACACACACACAUAUACAUAUAUAUGUGUGUGUGUAUAUAUGUAUAUGUAUAUGUAUGUACGUGUGUAUAUAUAUAUGUAUAUGUAUAUGUAUGUAUAUAUGUACAUGUAUAUA
This 462-nucleotide long non-coding RNA is filed under the name Lynx pardinus (Iberian lynx). The record is from RNAcentral. Lineage: Eukaryota; Metazoa; Chordata; Mammalia; Carnivora; Felidae.